This 441-nucleotide ribosomal RNA is filed under the name uncultured bacterium. Its description in RNAcentral is "partial 16S ribosomal RNA". It matches the Rfam family "Bacterial small subunit ribosomal RNA", at positions 338 to 795 of the family's 1533-position model. The record is from RNAcentral.
CCUACGGGUGGCAGCAGUGGGGAAUAUUGCACAAUGGGGGAAACCCUGAUGCAGCGAUGCCGCGUGUGUGAAGAAGUAUUUCGGUAUGUAAAGCUCUAUCAGCAGGAACGAGACAACACGGUACCUGACUAAGAAGCGCUGGCUAACUACGUGCCAGCAGCCGCGGCAAUACGUAGGGGGCAAGCGUUAGGCGGAAUCACUGGGUGUAAAGGGAGCGGAGACGGCUGUGCAAGCCUGAAGUGAAAGGCGGGGGCCGAACCCGUGAACUGCAUUUGGAACUGUACGGCUAGAGUGCGUGAGAGGUAAGUGGAAUUCCUAGUGUAGCAGUGAAAUGCGUAGAUAUUAGGAAGAACACCAGUGGCGAAGGCAGCUUACUGGGAUGUAACUGACGUUGAGGCUCGAAAGCGUGGGGAGCAAACAGGAUUAGAUACCCCUGUAGUC